RNAcentral lists this ribosomal RNA (468 nucleotides) under uncultured bacterium. Its description in RNAcentral is "partial 16S ribosomal RNA". It matches the Rfam family "Bacterial small subunit ribosomal RNA", at positions 28 to 507 of the family's 1533-position model. The record is from RNAcentral.
GACGAACGCUGGCGGCGUGCUUAACACAUGCAAGUCGAACGGAAAGGCCCUGCUUUUGUGGGGUGCUCGAGUGGCGAACGGGUGAGUAACACGUGAGUAACCUGCCCUUGACUUUGGGAUAACUUCAGGAAACUGGGGCUAAUACCGGACAGGAGCUCCUGCUGCAUGGUGGGGGUUGGAAAGUUUCGGCGGUUGGGGAUGGACUCGCGGCUUAUCAGCUUGUUGGUGGGGUAGUGGCUUACCAAGGCUUUGACGGGUCGCCGGCCUGAGAGGGUGAACGGCCACAUGAGGACUGCGAUACGGCGCAGAGUCCAACGGGAGGCAACAGUGGGAAGUAUUGCACAGUGAGCGGGAGCCUGUUGCAGCAACGCCGCGUGCGGAAUGACGGCCUUCGGGUUGAGAACCGCUUUCGCCUGUGACGAAGCGGGAGUGACGGUAAUGAGUAAAGAAGCACCGGCUAACUACGUG